Molecule: ribosomal RNA, 346 nt
Filed under: Candidatus Pelagibacterales bacterium
Lineage: Bacteria; Pseudomonadati; Pseudomonadota; Alphaproteobacteria; Candidatus Pelagibacterales
Description: bacterial SSU rRNA
Rfam family: Bacterial small subunit ribosomal RNA
Source: RNAcentral
AAACUUGAGAGUUUGAUCCUGGCUCAGAGUGAACGCUGGCGGCACGCCUAACACAUGCAAGUCGAGCGAUAAGCUAACUUCGGUUAGUGGACAGCGGCGGACGGGUGAGUAUCGCGUGGGAAUUUACCAUAGAGUGGGGGACAACUGCUGGAAACGGCAGCUAAUACCGCAUACGCCCUAAGGGGGAAAGGCUUCGGCCGCUCAAUGAGAAGCCCGCGUACGAUUAGUUUGUUGGUGGGGUAAUGGCCUACCAAGACUACGAUCGUUAGCUGGUCUGAGAGGACGAUCAGCCACACUGGGACUGAGACACGGCCCAGACUCCUACGGGAGGCAGCAGUGGGGAAUA